This 452-nucleotide long non-coding RNA is filed under the name Cricetulus griseus (Chinese hamster). RNAcentral's name for it is "lncRNA (ENSCGRG00015042166.1)". Lineage: Eukaryota; Metazoa; Chordata; Mammalia; Rodentia; Cricetidae. The record is from RNAcentral.
UAACCUAAAAGCCCUUCCCCUAAAAUGAGAUUGAUGACUUCUCUUUAUGCCAUCCUAGAGCCCUCACCCAGUGGCUGAUGGAAGCAGAGACAGACAUCCACAGAUAUACACUGAGCUGAGUUGAAGAGAGGGGCGAUUGUAGAUCCUGUCAAAUUCACAGUAACCAUCAAGAGUCUGGAUGAUGUAAACUAGUGCAGCCACUGUGGAAAUCAGUGUGGAGGCCUCAGAAUUUCUGCCUGUGUAAUCUUCGAGACUUCUUAGAACAGUGAAAACACCAGCAGCCAUAUGCAGAAACCACUUUGUCCUAGAGCAAGAUGUGGAUAAAUUAACCAGAAGCACCCAGCUUUAUUGUAAGGUCAUCUACCAGAGGGAGCAGCUGGUCAUAUGGAGCCAGAGACUUGGGGCUGGACUCAAGGUUCCACUGAUUGUGUACAGUUUUUGCAAAACCUUUG